GCGAGGUCUGGCAAUGCGAGUAGUACGUGAUGCCGAACGUCACAUGAUCACAACUGAGCCAAUGGUUAGCAGUGAUUCCGUUAGUGAUAGUGAAAGUCAUCCUACACAACCCUCCUCUCCCAUCUGCCUCACACCAGCCAUGAAGAUUUUCAAAGGUCCUCAAAGGAAUGAAAAUAAAGAAAAUAAGAGGAGGAAGAAGACUUGUGAACGGGCCUUAUGGAAUCUCAACGGGAGCAUAUUCUGCCCUCUGCGUCUACUCAUUUACGCUACGAAUUAUGAGAUAAAACUAAACGUGCACUCAUGAGUGGUGAACAGAAUGGACGUUCUUGGAGAACAAAGAGACACAUGGUAGCAUGGCAAAACACAUUAGUGUUUCUCAAAGCACAAUUGACUGGGGAGUUUCAGGGCCUGACUCUCCUCCCACCGCAGAUCUCACUCCUCAUCAUUAUUCUCACUGACAGGGGGCCUUGCCCGAGUCCCCAGAGCCAGUGACAGCUCCCAGCAGCUGGAUUUCUCGGAGACAGUUAAGUGGCAUUUUUUUCCCAAUUACUCUUCUCAGACUUUAGAUGAGGAGAAAAAACGUUUUGUGAAAUGGUUAUGGUAAUGGCAAGAAUGAGUUUGUGGAUGUGGUUAAAUGCAAUUUUAGCAACGCCUUGAAAUGUACCAUAUGCUGAGAGCUUCUCUGGUACAGGCAGCUAUUAUCUUUAAGAAAUUGAUUUCUUGGUCUCAUGUUCUAUUAUUUCAAUAUAUUUUAUAGAUUUCUCUUUUAUUUAUUUCCUUUUUGCCAUAUUCUGGAAAUAACUGUUCCUUAUGAAUGCUAGCUUUUAAUUUUAAGAUUAAACUUAAACCUUCCUACCUAAAUAUUGCUGGGGGACUCCGUAAGAUGUAUUUGCAGUCUUAAGAAACCUAUCAGCUAAAAGAAGAUUAAAAGAUUUUUUUCUCCUAGAUGCUGAAAAAUUAAAAUUUGUUGGGUAUGAAAGUCACUGUCUCCUAAUAAACUUAUAUUAAGCUGAAUUUUUUUUUCA
Molecule: long non-coding RNA, 1025 nt
Filed under: Felis catus (domestic cat)
Lineage: Eukaryota; Metazoa; Chordata; Mammalia; Carnivora; Felidae
Description: lncRNA (ENSFCAG00000043824.2)
Source: RNAcentral